This is a small nucleolar RNA of Ornithodoros turicata, 219 nucleotides long. RefSeq annotates it as small nucleolar RNA U3. The record is from RefSeq and is a predicted model, not a curated record. Lineage: Eukaryota; Metazoa; Arthropoda; Arachnida; Ixodida; Argasidae. The transcript has a single exon.
GAGGUCGUACUUCACAGUAUAAUAUCUAUAGUAUGAUUGUUGAGUUUCUUUCGCAAACUCGAAAUGCCUACAGCCGUGAUGAGGAGCCAUACGGUUUCUACUACCUGAGCGGGAAAAGGGCAGAAAGCAUUACCUUCUUUUGGGUGCGCUGCUGCUAUUGAUGAGCGUUCUUCUGGGACUGUGGUGCCAGAUGGAAAGUAGAACACCAUUCUGAGCGGU